Molecule: long non-coding RNA, 404 nt
Organism: Trichomycterus rosablanca
Lineage: Eukaryota; Metazoa; Chordata; Actinopteri; Siluriformes; Trichomycteridae
Exons: 3
Source: RefSeq, a predicted model, not a curated record
AAGGCAAAAAAAGUUCAGUAAUCAAAAUUCAAAGGCUUAAAGUUCAGUAAUCAAAAUUCAAAGGCUUUUAAAUUUCAAAAUCUGAUGAGACAGAUUUACUUCCAUGAAUUCUACAAUAAGCAUAUUUCUGCUGUGAAUCACAAUAUGUAUGAGGCAUGUGUAAGUAGCCUACUGAAGCGGACCAAAGCAAAACAGAUCGUCAAAACAGUGCAGGGAAGAAGACUUUAGCCCAGGAGGUAGAUUCCAGCAAAUGCUAAACAAAGCACCUGCACACAUUUUUAUGUUUUAUUUUUCUAUGUUCAGAACAGCAGUGUUUACAAAAAUAUGAAUUUAUUUAUUUAUCUAUGUAUUUUCAAAAACGUUUUAAAAUGUCGGAAUGCAAUAAAUGAAUUUUUUGUUACAAA